UACGUAGGUGGCAAGCGUUGUUCGGAAUUAUUGGGCGUAAAGAGCUCGUAGGCGGUCUGUUGCGUCUGCUGUGAAAACUCGGGGCUUAACCCCGAGCCUGCAGUGGAUACGGGCAGACUAGAGGUAGGUAGGGGAGAAUGGAAUUCCUGGUGUAGCGGUGAAAUGCGCAGAUAUCAGGAGGAACACCGGUGGCGAAGGCGGUUCUCUGGGCAUGAUCUGACGCUGAGGAGCGAAAGUGUGGGGAGCGAACAGG
Molecule: ribosomal RNA, 253 nt
Filed under: uncultured bacterium
Lineage: Bacteria
Description: partial 16S ribosomal RNA
Rfam family: Bacterial small subunit ribosomal RNA
Source: RNAcentral